This 724-nucleotide long non-coding RNA is filed under the name Marmota monax (woodchuck). Lineage: Eukaryota; Metazoa; Chordata; Mammalia; Rodentia; Sciuridae. The record is from RNAcentral.
AAAAUAAAGGUAUUGUGUCCAUCUAUAAGCUAGACCAGAAAAAAAAUUUGCAAAACUCUAACCAUGGAUUGGUAUAAGCACUCUCUGCUUAUCUGAACCUAUAACUAUCUAUAUCUACCUGCAUUUACACCUCUAUAAAAGAUAAACAGCUCCGUAUAAAAAUGGGCAAGGAUACGAGUAGCAGAUCAAAGAAAAAUCCAAAGGAAAAUGCUAGGCCUCGCUAUUAAGCAAGGAGAUGCAAAAUAAAACAACAAAACAAUGAAAUAACAUUCACACCCAUCAAAUUGGCAAGAACAAGGCAGUGUUAUAAUAUCAAACUGUGGAAACACAAACUCUUAGAUAUUAGUGGUGAUAAUGUAAAUUGGUGGGCAGUUUGGCAAUACUUAGCAGAGGAGAAGCAACCCCAUUUGUAGGAAUCCACCCAGGAGAAACUAACAUUUGCAUAUGAGAAGAAUUGUUCAAGGAAUCAUUAAUUUAUUCAUUUAAAAAAUGUAUUGAGAGCUGAGAUUGUAGCUCAGUUGUAGAGCGUUUGCCUAGCACACAUAGUACUGGGUUCAAUCCUCAGCACCACUCAAAAAUAAAUAAAUAAAAUAAAGGUAUUAAAAAUGUAUUAAAUUUCUCAUUUGUGACAGGUGAUGUUCUAGGCUAUAGGCAUACAGCCAUGAAAUAAAGAGUUAAAAAUCUCUGUUCUAGUGAGGAUCAAAGAUAAUUAGCAAGAUCUGGG